GAGUUUGAUCUUGGCUCAGGAUGAACGCUGGCGGCGUGCUUAACACAUGCAAGUCGAGCGAUGAAGUUUCCUUCGGGAAACGGAUUAGCGGCGGACGGGUGAGUAACACGUGGGUAACCUGCCUCAUAGAGUGGAAUAGCCUUCCGAAAGGAAGAUUAAUACCGCAUAAUGUUGAAAGAUGGCAUCAUCAUUCAACCAAAGGAGCAAUCCGCUAUGAGAUGGACCCGCGGCGCAGUUAGCUAGUUGGUGGGUAACGGCCUACCAAGGCGACGAUGUGUAGCCGGUCUGAGGGGAUGAACGGCCACAAUGGAACUGAGACACGGUCCAUACUCCUA
This 335-nucleotide ribosomal RNA is filed under the name uncultured bacterium. RNAcentral's name for it is "bacterial SSU rRNA". It matches the Rfam family "Bacterial small subunit ribosomal RNA", at positions 9 to 341 of the family's 1533-position model. The record is from RNAcentral.